AAUAGCGGAGGAGGAAAAAUGUUUUAGCGAGACGAGAGCUCAUUUAGGCGAGACAUAGAUUUUGCGCUCAAUCCUAAAAUCCACGGAGUACGCUGCAACCCUCCCGGCGCGUGGCCGGCGAGGGCUUUGCAUCCGCGGCGAAGGGGAGCGAGAAGGAGGCCGCGCGCUUCUUCUCGUUCCUCCCUCACCGUCGGCGUCCGUCCCAUUCCAGGUGGAUCGAUCCGGUCCGGUUCGGUUCGGUGGAGACCGGUCUCCCCUCGCCCAUCCCGCGCUACCGUUUACUGGCCACCAGGCAGUGGCCGUCACCGUCGCCGUCGCCGUCGUCCAUUGCCAUUACCGGCUAGCCUGGUGAAUAAUCUUACACUGACAUCUGCUAUUUGGGUAGCUGCUUGGCUCUUAUGAGCACUGAUGCAUACAACCCACGAGCUAUGAUGCCCAGCUUGGUGAGAAUCUUCCUAUUUUGAGCUAUGCGGUGAUGAUCUAAAUGUUUCCUUUAAUAACCAAUAGGUGAGCUCGAAGAUUUCUCAUCUAACAUCUAGUUUAUAUUAUCUCCAUGAAAGUUCUGGCAAUUGUAAGUAUGGUCUGUGAAAAUGACCCCUCAAAGGCCAACCCACUCGUAUGGCUGGAAAGAUGAAAGAAUUUUUAUGUUGAUGUGUUCCUGUCAGUCAACAGUAAGAUUGCCAUAUUUAUAUGGCAUCAGGAUUCUUUAUCUCAGUGUUUACUGUAGUGUGCAA
Hordeum vulgare subsp. vulgare (domesticated barley) is the source of this 734-nucleotide long non-coding RNA. RefSeq lists it as uncharacterized. The record is from RefSeq and is a predicted model, not a curated record. The transcript is spliced from 2 exons. NCBI's taxonomy places the organism in Eukaryota, Viridiplantae, Streptophyta, Magnoliopsida, Poales, Poaceae.